GAUGAACGCUGGCGGCGUGCCUAAUACAUGCAAGUCGAGCGAACGGACGAGAAGCUUGCUUCUCUGAUGUUAGCGGCGGACGGGUGAGUAACACGUGGAUAACCUACCUAUAAGACUGGGAUAACUUCGGGAAACCGGAGCUAAUACCGGAUAAUAUUUUGAACAGCAUGGUUCAAAAGUGAAAGACGGUCUUGCUGUCACUUAUAGAUGGAUCCGCGCUGCAUUAGCUAGUUGGUAAGGUAACGGCUUACCAAGGCAACGAUACAUAGCCGACCUGUGAGGAGGGGCGGCUCCACUACAACUGAGACGCGGCACAGACCAAACUGGUAGGGGGGAGUGGGGUGUGGUACGGAAGGCAAGAGACCAUAACGGGGAAAAGCCGAGUGAGUGGUAGAGUUACUGGGAUCUGAGAACUCUGCUAUUAGUGAAGAACAAAAGAGUAAGGUAUUCAGCACCCCUUGAAGGUACCUAAUGAGAAAGCAACGGCUAACUACGUG
Molecule: ribosomal RNA, 497 nt
Filed under: uncultured bacterium
Lineage: Bacteria
Description: partial 16S ribosomal RNA
Rfam family: Bacterial small subunit ribosomal RNA
Source: RNAcentral